GGAGAGAUGUCCGAGCGGUCGAUGGUGCAAUCUUGGAAAGGUUGUGUACGGCAACGUACCGGGGGUUCGAAUCCCCCUCUCUCCG
Molecule: transfer RNA, 85 nt
Filed under: Treponema sp.
Lineage: Bacteria; Pseudomonadati; Spirochaetota; Spirochaetia; Treponematales; Treponemataceae
Description: tRNA-Ser
Rfam family: tRNA
About the family: Transfer RNA (tRNA) molecules are approximately 80 nucleotides in length.
Source: RNAcentral